AUAUUGGACAAUGGGCGAAAGCCUGAUCCAGCAAUGCCGCGUGAGUGAUGAAGGCCUUAGGGUUGUAAAGCUCUUUUACUGGGGAUGAUAAUGACAGUACCCAGAGAAUAAGCUCCGGCUAACUCCGUGCCAGCAGCCGCGGUAAUACGGAGGGAGCUAGCGUUGUUCGGAAUUACUGGGCGUAAAGCGCACGUAGGCGGCUAUUUAAGUCAGAGGUGAAAUCCCGGGGCUCAACCCCGGAACUGCCUUUGAAACUGCAUAGCUAGAAUCUUGGAGAGGCGAGUGGAAUUCCGAGUGUAGAGGUGAAAUUCGUAGAUAUUCGGAAGAACACCAGUGGCGAAGGCGACUCGCUGGACAAGUAUUGACGCUGAGGUGCGAAAGCGUGGGGAGCAAACAGG
This 398-nucleotide ribosomal RNA is filed under the name uncultured bacterium. RNAcentral's name for it is "bacterial SSU rRNA". It matches the Rfam family "Bacterial small subunit ribosomal RNA", at positions 361 to 776 of the family's 1533-position model. The record is from RNAcentral.